Non-coding RNA from Corchorus olitorius, 380 nucleotides. The record is from Rfam. Lineage: Eukaryota; Viridiplantae; Streptophyta; Magnoliopsida; Malvales; Malvaceae.
ACAAUGGAGAGUUUGAUCCUGGCUCAGGAUGAACGCUAGCGGCAGGCCUAAUACAUGCAAGUCAAACGGGUAGCAAUACCAGUGGCGUACGGGUGCGUAACGCGUAUGCAACCUACCUUUAACUGGGGGACAACAGCGGGAAACUGCUGCUAAUACCCCGUAACGCAGGGGCACGGCAUCGUGAUACUGCUAAAGAAGCGAUUCGGUUAGAGAUGGGCAUGCGUUCGAUUAGCUAGUUGGUGCAGGUAACGGCUCACCAAGGCGACGAUCGAUAGGGGCUCUGAGAGGAGAAUCCCCCACACUGGCACUGAGAUACGGGCCAGACUCCUACGGGAGGCAGCAGUAGGGAAUAUUGGGCAAUGGAGGAAACUCUGACCCAG